RNAcentral lists this long non-coding RNA (581 nucleotides) under Nicotiana tabacum (common tobacco). RNAcentral describes it as "long non-coding RNA (NTAB_LNC007067)". The record is from RNAcentral. Lineage: Eukaryota; Viridiplantae; Streptophyta; Magnoliopsida; Solanales; Solanaceae.
CAAACGGGCCAAUAGGCAGAAUGAUCUGUGAAGCUGAGGAAUUUGAUCCGGCACUGAAGGCUAUUGCAACCAUUGCCGAGACAGAAGAAAAGCCAAAAAACGAUUGCCAAGCCUGAAAGUUCCCCAUCAGACGGGAGUCUCGGUAGCCAGUCUUGCUAUCCCUUCUGCAUCUAGAUUGUCUCAGGGUGUGAUCCAGAUGUUUUACUUUAUUGUCUUACUUUCCGAUGUAAACCCUUCUAUCUUCAAAAAUUUAAAAAAACACAAAAAAAAAUCAAAAAAAAAAUCAAAAAAAUCAAAUGAAAUUGAUAUUUCAUUUUCCCGGAAUGUCUCUUUUUUUUAAAUCUUGUAAAUUUUCUCAUUCUCUUUUAGUUCUGUUAAAUGCAGAUUUCAAUAAUAUGACAUGCUUGCGGACUUCAUGCCCGGAUCUUAAAACUCUGUCAGACCUCGAAAUAAUGAAUCAAGAAUUGGGUCGCAAUGAAGAAUAGCUUAAGGAAACAAGACAAAGAGUUGGAACAACUGAAGGAAAAUUGGUUCCCGCAAUUGGAAAGGUCCAUACAUUACAACAAGAGUACUGCCAAAAA